Molecule: ribosomal RNA, 118 nt
Filed under: Persephonella sp.
Lineage: Bacteria; Pseudomonadati; Aquificota; Aquificia; Aquificales; Hydrogenothermaceae
Source: RNAcentral
CCUGGUGCCCAUAGCGGGGAGGAAACACCCGGUCUCCAUUCCGAACCCGGCAGUUAAGCUCCCCAGCGCCGAUAAUACUGGCCGGGAAACCGGUCGGAAACGUAGGUCGGUGCCAGGG